GUGAAUUGCUCUCUGAGCGUUAAACUAUAUCCAUCUACACCUGUGAACUGUUGAUUGACUUCGGUCAAUUACUUUUACAAACAUUGUGUAAUGAACGUCAUGUUAUUAUAACAAAAA
This 117-nucleotide unclassified non-coding RNA is filed under the name uncultured Trichosporon. RNAcentral describes it as "sequence contains ITS1". The record is from RNAcentral. Lineage: Eukaryota; Fungi; Basidiomycota; Tremellomycetes.